GUAAGUACAAAUGCAGUUCUGUUGAUUCUCCCAUCUCCUUCUUAAGCCCUACAAAUGAGGACAAGCUAAGCAGAAAAUAGAGUUUUGUGUUCUUUCCUUUCUACUACUUUGCACCUCCUAAGCACAGUUUUGGUGACAUAUGGCACUUCUCCUAAAAAAAUGUCCUGCAAAGAAUCUCUGCCUGCCAUCUGAUGUAUCCAAGAAACUGAGUUCCUGUGGCCCAUUUCUGGAUUAACCCAACAUGAACUGAUGAAGGCCCAGGACAUGCACAAUUCUGCAGGUUAGUUAUGCUCAGCCAUAACAAUGUAAGGAUGCAUCUUGUUAUGGCUGACAGCAAUAUGGUAUGGGAGUCUGACCUGAUAUUUAGAAUAAAAUUAGCUGCUGGAAGGGAGAACAGGCAUUCUUAGUUCAGACAUGUAUUUUAGUAUUUGACUUUAUAAUUGAAAUAUUCCUUUAAUGUAGUUUUUAACUUGACCCAGCUGUGUUUUUAACACACACACUGGGGGUGGUGGGGAAACAUUAUCUGCAAUCAUAUCAUUCACUCCUCCUGGGUAAUGGGCAGGGGUGUGAUUUUUAGCUUACAGCAUAGCCCUACAACUCAACUGCCUGCAUAGAGUAAGUGGGAGUAAUGGAAAAGCUUCCUUUCUAAGUGUGCACGUCACUAGAAUGGGCAGAGAUGUUUCUUGUCAGCUCUUAAAUAUUUGCUGGCAGCAUCAAUACAGGGAUGAGUGUUGAGAUGUGGGAAUAAUGGGUUCGUUUCCAAGCUGUAUGGAGGAUGAAUCUAGAUGCCCCGCCGCCCUAUGUUAUAUAACAGUAUUAUAGUAUGUGAUUUCCCCUCUCCCUUUCCUGCAGCACAGCUCUCCCAGCCUCCCAGCCUGUGCUCAUCGCAGUGCUCUCUACAACAUGGCUCCUCCUCCCGAGCUGCCUGCCCAUUCCUUCUGGCCCGCAUCUCUUCCCUGUCCCUUGCUGGGGUAGCUGUAAUCCCCACAGGAAUGUGGCCCACGGCCUCGGGCAUGUGACUCCAGAGAGCUUCUGAUGGUGAAUGCAAAGCAGGAAAAAGCAAUCUUGUGACAUCUAGCAGCGUAGGAAGGGAAGCGCUGGGCAUCUGUGGGCUGUUCGGUGUGCGUGGCUGUCCAGCCACCUCAUCAGACAGAAAAACAGAGGCUAGACUUUUCGGCUGCAUGUGUUGUUUCCCUGUCCAUUGUGUCUGGGUGAUGUAUUCUCUGCCUGUGGUUUUAAUAAAUGUCUUUCUAAGCUACUUUCUGCUUCAGUCCCCUUCGGAAUAGCUCAUUCCAACUUGGCUGCUUCAGUAUGCUGAAGAUGUUAAGUCAGUUAUGUGGAAAAGGGGAAAAAAGAAAACUUCAUGUAGAACAUCUGAGAAAGCUGUAACUGUAUCUCUGUGAAGAUGCUAUAUGCUACACAGAAGUAUUUGCCAUGAGAAUCCCAAACUACUGCUAGGACCCAAGCUUGUGUUGGAUUCUAAUAAGCCUUUGCAGGUAGGAUGUCGCUGUGUUGUAGAGUACCCUGCAGAUUUCAACAAUUCCAGUGAAUUUCUGUUUGUGGAAACUGAGUUUUGUUCUACGUAGUAAGCACCCAUCUUAACCCUGCUGGAGCAGAACAGCCCUUUUCCUAGCAGAAACCAGAGCUGUUGUUGAUUAAUGUCUUGCUGAAAACUAAGUCUUUGCCAUCUGUUCCGCCCCCUCACUACGAAUGCCACUCUCAUUAUGUUGAUUAUGUAAUUAAAAAUGAAAAUAUAUUUUGGUAAGAGUGCUGCAUAGGCAUCUGUGCUUAUUCUUCUGUUCCUGUUCACUGCCCCCUGCCCCCGUCCCAUACAGAAGGGAAAAGACAACAAUUGUUCCACUCGGCAGUGGCUUUAUAUUGAAGCUGUCGCACUGGCUGCCAGACUGGUGCACGUCAUGGGAGCAGCCACUCGAGCCCCGCUGUGUCUGAGCUGCGGCUCCUUCGGAAACCCCGGCUAUUAGGUUCAUGAGAAAUCCGUGGCAGGAAGCUGACCCUUAAACCAAGGCUCCUUUAAGUUCUUGUGAUGGGUUAACUUGAAUCCAGAACAUGAAAAGAGAAGAGAAAGAGGCCUGGCUACUUCAUAAGAGAUAGUGUGACCUCUGAGAUCAGCGAGGCUGCUCAUGUUACAAAUAUGGCCUGUCUAUCUAAGGACCGAGGAAGAGAAAGAGAGGAGGGGUAGCCUUCUUGUAAGUGGGUUAGAGCAAUUACUGAGGUCUCUUACAGCAAAUUAAGUCGUUAGUGUGAGUCACGUUCCCUUUUUUCCUCUCUGCUGCCAAGUUUUAAGCAGUAACCAGACAGGGAGGAAAAAAAGGGAAAAGCAACAAUGGAGAAGAGUUGAACUGAAACAACCCUUCAUUCAGGGUAUUGUUUGACAUUUUAGUUCUGAUUGUACAUAGAGAUAAAGGACCUAUAAAUAUCCUGUCUGCUGAAAUUCCUUAUAACAACAUCGCCUGUCAGCUGAACAAAUAGGUUAGGUUCUCUAAAUACUACCUAAUUACACAUGUAAAUACAAAUUACUGAUUGUAUCCCUGCACCGCGUGGAAUGAAGGCCUGAUCACUGGGAGGAACAUUAAUCUCCUGUUUUACUGAGAUGCCCCAGUCCCAGGAGAGCAAAUGGCACAUACAGCUAUUACUGCUGAAUUGGUGCAAGUUCCGAGAUCAGACUGAAGCAAGCAAGGAGAUAUUUAUCUGGCUGAUGAACGUAGAUGAAAGCCUCUUCUGACGCUUCUGAAAGUAUCUCAGCAUCUAGUUCUGUUUAACAAAUGGCUGGAAGCUUUUCUACUCUGCUUCAGAGCUUUUAAUGAAGCAUUGUGAUUCCCAUUGUGGUCGACUGUUUGACAGUUUUAUUAUUACUGGUAUGCAUAGCGUUUUUUAAUGUUUGACAGCUGGAGAAAGAAGUAUUUUGUGCAUUCAAAUUUUUAGUACAAAGCUGCUGUUUUCUAUUCUGCCUUUGCCUUUGUCUCUUAUUGCUGAUGCGAAUCAAUGAAAGACAGAACUGAUGAAAUUACAUUUGUUUACUUUUUACUUGAUAAUAAUAAGACACAGCCAGCCCUUUGUAAAAGACAGAAAUGGGGGAUGUGAAUGUUUCUACAGUAUUUCUGUGUGUUUUUUUUUUCUUAUAGCAUAAAGGCAUUUAUUUGUUUCUUAUGUCUUGAUUUAUAAGAUAAUGUGCACUUCCUAAUGUAUGUGGAAUAAGAAUGGAGCAAUGAAUGACAGUUAGCAAUGGAUUCCACUUGAAAAUCUCUUAGCUUGUUAUUUUUAUUAAUUCAACAGCAUAAACGCUCGUAGCACAUCACAAAACAAACACCAAGAUAGUUCUGUGAUUCACAGUAGGACUGCCUCUGAUCACUGCUGUAUAUUUGUAUGUAGCUACACAAAAAAGUCCAGUCCACUGGCUUUGGCUUUAUACACACGUGAUUGUUACCAGGCCCCAGCUUUGAUAUAUUGGUACAAUACUGGAAAGAAACAAGCUGCAGAAAUCAGAUAUCCAUGGUUGUUUUGGUUGUGCCUUCCCUCAGAAGAGGACACGCUGAAUACGGAGUGAUUAAGACAGAUGCCUGGACAGGUGAAGGGAGGUGUUCCAGCAGUGGCAGUGCACACAGCAGAGGAGGGAACAAAUUGCUGCAAGACUGCAGGAGCCCAGGAGGAUGUUGCCAUGGGCAUAUGUUUAUCCAAAUUGGGUUUUGAUAAGAAGACUGCAGCUGGAUCUUUAUUAUCUGAGACAAGUGGCGAUAUUAGCUGUUCAGAGUUCAUGAUGGAAAUGUAUCUGCAUACUGGCGUGCAUCCAGCUGCACUUCACAAAGAAGGCAUCUUGUCGUGGGGCUCUGCAUAUCUGAAGUAAUAACCGCUGAUGUCAGCAACUGAUGAUAUCAAAAACAGAGAGAUCAGGAGGCUGAUAUUACACGCUAAGUCUGUUCUGUAAAAUCUCAGUAGCCUUUUGGUGCAUGGAACUUCGGCACACGCAAACUGUGACUGCAGCGACGUCCUCCUUGUUUACAGAAUUGGAAGUCUUGAGCAAAGCGAAGCUGACUCGUGGAGAAGCUGGUUUUCAAAAGAUACAAGCUCCAGAUAACUAAGGACAAGUGAAGCACACAACAAUAUAGAAAUCACUCGGUUUUACUGCAGCCAACUGAGACAAAGUGUGCUUUGAAGCUGGGAAAUUUCCAUUACUGAAGUGCAGGACAGUGCCUGGAUACUGCUGCUACUGCAGCUGAGAAAUAAAAGCAACUUAAUUUUACAUAGCAGCAAAAUGUCAGUAUGUUAAUUACAACUGUUAGAGUUUUAUAAGAUUUUAAGGAUGCCGUAAAAUGGAUUCCUUCUAAAAUAUUUAGGAUAUAAUUGUAAAUGACUUCUCUAAAACUAAGGAGCAUUAAAAGGACUUGAAAUUGUACCUAAGUUUUCAAGCUGUAUCAUAUUUGUGAACAUCAGAUCUGACAAGAACAUGACACGACAUCCCCUACGACAGUGACAGUGUGACAGCGGCAGAACGACAUCCAGUGUGAGUCCAAGGUUGUUACGGACAGCGUAGUUCUGCAGUUAAGGACUGUUUUUGCUCUCCGUGGGGUGCUCAAAACAAAUAUAGCUAUCUGUUCACCACUUUUAAGUCCAUAAUCUAUAAACCACCAUAAGCUUCCUGUAAAGUCAGUCAGAAUGCUGAGCAGAGAAGAAACGAAAUACUGGGGGCAAAAAAAAGUGAGUUCAUUUUGGCAUCAAUCAAAUUGCCCUGCACUUUGGGCAAGAUACUGCAUUUAACUUCCCAAUGGCAUAAAAUUGCAGAGAUGCUCAUUUAAGCCCGAGGUCACUUCACA
Gallus gallus (chicken) is the source of this 4829-nucleotide long non-coding RNA. Lineage: Eukaryota; Metazoa; Chordata; Aves; Galliformes; Phasianidae. The record is from Ensembl.